Long non-coding RNA from Anguilla rostrata (American eel), 778 nucleotides. RefSeq lists it as uncharacterized. NCBI's taxonomy places the organism in Eukaryota, Metazoa, Chordata, Actinopteri, Anguilliformes, Anguillidae. The transcript has 2 exons. The record is from RefSeq and is a predicted model, not a curated record.
UUUGUGUUUACUCAGUUUCCCUUUGUCUAAUACUAGAUUUUGCCGGAAGAGCUGAAACCGUUCAGAGAGAAAUAUGCAAUAACAGAGGAAAUCAGAAAGGGGUCAAGUACUACUUUCAGGGGACUGCACCUACUUCCGGAUUUCGCCUGCAAGGCAUGAGCUAGUUUAAAGGUGGAAUCACCCCAUGCUGGUCCCAGGCCGUCUGCAUCACAAGUUCUUGUGGUGCUGCUCCCACUAUCCCCUCUCAUUGAGAAGCUUCUGCUCGUGAGCUUGAGGAGGGGAGAAGGGAAGGGGGGGAACCUAGACCAAGCAUACAUUCUGCACCUAAUGGUGAGACACUUUUUCUGGAUUGGGUCUGCACCCUCUUUGGGUAGCUUACAGUACACAUACCUCUAAUGACAGACUUGACCAUGCUCAACAGAACAUUCAGUGACUUAUUUUCAAAUAUAAACCUCCUUGGGUUGACUUAACAUGUUUUGUGUAGGCCACUGUUGGACAUUGUCUUCAAUAGAAGGAAGCAGACUGUGACAUUCCGUUUCCUUUGACGUUCUACCACAAACCUACAGAACACACGCCUUUUCUAAACUACAAGGUACAGGAAUAACCUGAUUCAGAUUCAAAUUCAAAGUCAAGCCCAUAAUCUUGCAAGCUAUUAACUACACCCAAAAAAAAUAAUACAGUCACAGCAAAACAAAUCGCUUAAUUACAAACUUUGUUGGAAUCCUUUAAUCUCACCAUUUUAUGCUCAAUCAUGACACAUAGAUCAGUUUGGCAAGAA